CCAAUAGCGUAUAUUAAAGUUGUUGCAGUUAAAAAGCUCGUAGUUGAAUUUCGGGAUUGACACAUCGGUCGUGCCUUAAGGGGUAUGAACUGGUGUAGUCAAUUUCUCACCUUCUGGAGAACCGCGAUGCCCUUAAUUGGGUGUCACGGGGAACCAGGACCUUUACUUUGAAAAAAUUAGAGUGUUUAAAGCAGGCAUUUUGCUUGAAUACAUUAGCAUGGAAUAAUAAAAUAGGACGGCAUGAUUCUAUUUUGUUGGUUUCUAGGAUCACCGUAAUGAUUAAUAGGGAUAGUUGGGGGCAUUAGUAUUCAAUUGUCAGAGGUGAAAUUCUUGGAUUUAUUGAAGACUAACUACUGCGAAAGCAUUUGCCAAGGAUGUUUUCAUUAAUCAAGAACGAAAGUUAGGGGAUCGAAGACGAUCAGAUACCGUCGUAGUCUUAACCAUAAACUAUGCCGACUAGGAAUCAGACGAUGUUAAUUUUUUAAUGACUCGUUUGGCACCUUACG
This 506-nucleotide non-coding RNA is filed under the name uncultured Glomeromycotina. Its description in RNAcentral is "partial small subunit ribosomal RNA". It matches the Rfam family "Eukaryotic small subunit ribosomal RNA", at positions 591 to 1092 of the family's 1831-position model. The record is from RNAcentral. RNAcentral also lists the same sequence under 1 other name. Lineage: Eukaryota; Fungi; Glomeromycota.